RNAcentral lists this ribosomal RNA (252 nucleotides) under uncultured bacterium. RNAcentral describes it as "partial 16S ribosomal RNA". It matches the Rfam family "Bacterial small subunit ribosomal RNA", at positions 524 to 776 of the family's 1533-position model. The record is from RNAcentral.
UACGGAGGAUGCGAGCGUUAUCCGGAUUUAUUGGGUUUAAAGGGUGCGUAGGCGGACUGUCAAGUCAGCGGUAAAAUUGAGAGGCUCAACCUCUUCCCGCCGUUGAAACUGGUGGUCUUGAGUGGAUGAGAAGUACGCGGAAUGCGUGGUGUAGCGGUGAAAUGCAUAGAUAUCACGCAGAACUCCAAUUGCGAAGGCAGCGUACCGGCAUCCAACUGACGCUGAGGCACGAAAGCGUGGGGAUCAAACAGG